CCUCCCAGGGUCCAUCUCUUACUCCACCACUGAAACCAUCUCUUCAAUGCUCUGAUGAGAAACAACAGGACACCUACUCUAACUUCAUUCCCUCUAGGAGAUCAAGAUGGCAGAACAGAAGACUCUACCAAUUGCCCCCCUCCCAAACCCCAAGGACUCCAAUUUAACAACUAUCUACCCACAAAAAAAGCAUCUUCAUAAGAACCCAUAAGCAGCUUCUGUUGCAGAUGAGAAGUUUUCAAUUUUAUAUCAAUUUUUGCUCCCCAAAGUGCACAAAUGUAACAGGCUACAAGUACAAGUUUUUCUGUUACCCCAAAUUGGCAAUUAAGGCCACAAUAUUAAAAUAGAGAAGUUGGAGAACUGAGAACAACCGGAGCUGACCACCUUCUUUAAGGCUUACGAAGACACAACCAGGUAAAGGCUCUGCUGCUCUAAAUCAUCACCCCAAACUGUACCUUCUCCCUCUCCAGUCAAGUCUGAAAGGAAGACUGAGGUAGGAACGGAGAAAAAGGAAAUGAUUAGAGGUAUAAGGUGGCCUUGGUAGGGGUGGGAAGGGAGUAAUGCUUCAGUUUUCUAUCUAUUCCACCAAGACAUGCCUCGCACCACUGAACCAAGUGCUGGGGCUGCCAUGAGAACCACUCUUAAAGCCUGGAAAGCAGUUCCUGUAGGAAAAGAAGGCCAGAAUUUCAUUUCUAGCUUUGACAUCUGCACCUGCAGUGGCCUUGCCAAUCCAGCCCCUGUACCUACCUGAACUGAGGGCAAAAAAAGUGACUUAGAAAAGGGAGAGAGCACAGCUUUGGGGCGACCCACACGUGUAUCUUCAUGGGCCAUGUGAACUUGGGGGAAGUAGCUAGGUUUGUGUUAUCUUGACAAAUUCUACCCACAAGGAUUGGCCAUUGAAAGCACAUCUCAGCAGCAGGAGCUGGGGAGUGUUCCAUGUAUGAGAUAUCAAUGACUGUGCAGUGGUGAGGUCCCCAAGGGGCUUCUGAAAACUCCCAGAUAGAGACCACUGCCUCCCAGUCCACAAUAACCAGAUAAACAGUCAAAAUUUUACAGAGGACAAACUUCAGCUGCACUAUUAAAUGUGAGAGACUUGUCCUUUUUUUCUUUCCCAAAUCACCACAAACUGUGGAACCCUAGAAGAAGGAGAGGGAGGUAGUAUCCCGGAGGCAGACCACACCCACAUCUUCUAUUCCCGACACCUUAUAUCUGAUCUGUGAUGUUGGAGGGAAUAGCUCUAAAUUAGAUUGAGAUUGAGGCUUGUCUAACACUGAAUUGUUAUGGUUUGUUUUUUUUAUAGAAGCAUAACCAAAAGAUCACAGGAUCUGCCCAAGUAAAAGAGAAAUUUGACAAAGCUUAAGUAAUUGAAAAAAAGAAGUUACUUUCAUAUAUAUGCCCCAGGGAAAUUCAGAAUAUUCAGCAAACUCAUUACUAAAAGUAAACAAAAUAAUAUGAUACUACCAUUAGGAAGAGAAGUACUUCAUUAAAGUGAUCACAAGUGAGAAAUUAAGGAGUAGGACACUAAACACACUCCAUAUUGUAUUUUUAAUAAUAAUUAGGAGACUUCAAAUCAAAGAGCAAACUAUGCAAGAUUAAUAAUGAUGGCACCUCAUCAGAGAAAUGCAAAUCAAAACCACAGUGAGAUACCAUCUCACACCAGUUAGAAUGGCCAUCAUUAAAAAAUCAGGAAACAACAGGUGCUGGAGAGGAUGUGGAGAAAUAGGAACACUUUUACACUGUUGGUGGGACUGUAAACUAGUUCAACCAUUGUGGAAGUCAGUGUGGCGAUUCCUCAGGGAUCUAGAACUAGAAAUACCAUUUGACCCAGCCAUCCCAUUACUGGGUAUAUACCCAAAAGACUAUAAAUCAUGCUGCUAUAAAGACACAUGCACACGUAUGUUUAUUGCGGCACUAUUCACAAUAGCAAAGACUUGGAACCAACCCAAAUGUCCAACAACAAUAGACUAGAUUAAGAAAAUGUGGCACAUAUACACCAUGGAAUACUAUGCAGCCAUAAAAAAUGAUGAGUUCGUGUCCUUUGUAGGGACAUGGAUGAAAUUGGAAAACAUCAUUCUCAGUAAACUAUCGCAAGGACAAAAAACCAAACACCGCAUGUUCUCACUCACAGGUGGGAAUUGAACAAUGAGAACUCAUGGACACAGGAAGGGGAACAUCACACUCCGGGGACUGUUGUGGGGUGGGGGGAGGGGGGAGGGACAGCAUUAGGAGAUAUACCUAAUGCUAAAUGACAAGUUAAUGGGUGCAGGAAAUCAACAUGGCACAUGGAUACAUAUGUAACAAACCUGCACAUUGUGCACAUGUACCCUAAAACCUAAAGUAUAAUAAAAAAUA
Long non-coding RNA from Symphalangus syndactylus (siamang), 2352 nucleotides. RefSeq lists it as uncharacterized. Lineage: Eukaryota; Metazoa; Chordata; Mammalia; Primates; Hylobatidae. The record is from RefSeq and is a predicted model, not a curated record.